Molecule: long non-coding RNA, 481 nt
Filed under: Anser brachyrhynchus (Pink-footed goose)
Lineage: Eukaryota; Metazoa; Chordata; Aves; Anseriformes; Anatidae
Description: lncRNA (ENSABRG00000001908.1)
Source: RNAcentral
GUUCUUAAGAAAUGUUGCUCAUUUUCCAUAUGAGAAUUCUGCCUCCUAUCACUAAAACAGGUGCAGGUAGGGGAGCUGAAGCAGGCAGUAACCCUGUUCCAGCAGCUCUCAGCCAGAUGCUCCACUCUAGGGCUAAUGUAGAAGGUGCUCUUAUUGCCACCUGGCAAUUCGUCACACUGGUGCACUCGCCAAUAAGCUGGCAUUAAGUCUGUUUUGCACUACUGGAGUUGCACAAAACAGAUUUAAGAGCUUGGACGGUCAAAACCUUCAACCUGUAACGCUGAGGGCCAGCGCGCAGAGAAGUCAGCAUGGGCAGGAUGCUGCUCCAGUAAUCUCUGCUCAGUAAAGGUUCAACGUAGGGAGAGGUUGCAGCGUUUAUGCUGCCUGAGCAUCAGCCUCAGCACUGUUUAGGAGAGGCAUCUCUGGCAAGGUGCCCCGUGGUGUAUUUUACGAUCAGUGUUGUAACGAUACACAGUCUUUG